RNAcentral lists this ribosomal RNA (143 nucleotides) under Capronia sp. RNAcentral's name for it is "partial large subunit ribosomal RNA". Lineage: Eukaryota; Fungi; Ascomycota; Eurotiomycetes; Chaetothyriales; Herpotrichiellaceae. The record is from RNAcentral.
AAGCGCUUGCAACCAGACUUGCGCGCGACGGUUCCCCCUUCCUUCUGGUUGGGCUACUCCGUCGUGUCCAGGCCAACAUCGGUUCUGGGGGUCGGUUAAAGGCUCGGGGAAUGUAUCUACCCUCCGGGCGUAGACUUAUAGCC